GUCAGUGUGGUGUAGUGGUUUGAGCAUUGGACUACAAUUCUAGAGACCAGGGUUUGAUUUCCCACUCGGCCA
Molecule: non-coding RNA, 72 nt
Organism: Phrynosoma platyrhinos (Desert horned lizard)
Lineage: Eukaryota; Metazoa; Chordata; Lepidosauria; Squamata; Phrynosomatidae
Source: the annotation of a GenBank genome assembly